CCUCUGGGAGACGUCACUUCCGGGUCUGAGCGCGUUACAGGCCCGGGCUUCCCGACGCCACUCCAGACUAGGACCUUCGAGAGGCCCCGCUGCCCAGCUGGGAGCGGGAGGACGGCCCGCCUGGCUGGCAGGAGAACGGGGCGUUUUAAAUCUCGGGCCGGGUCCUGGGCGGAAUCUCCACAACGUGCACAACGAUUGGAGGGAAGCUGAGUCCGUCACGUGACGCUCACCGGCUCAGAGGAACUCGCCGUUAUACCACUUCCAGAGAAGCUUAUGUGCUGAAGCAAAGGAGAGAUGCCAAUGGCUGUAUCACAGAGACAAUAAUGGUGACACCUACAGAUGAUGCCUGUGCAGGUCGGGCAAAACGUUCAGCGCAUGAAAACAGAAGAGGGGACACUUCUCAACUCACUUUAUAAGGCCAGCAUUACCCUGAUGCCAAAAUCAAGCUAUCACAAGGAAAGACUUCACAGAUCAACAUUCUAUGUGAACACAGAUACAAAAUUCUUUAAUAAAAGA
Molecule: long non-coding RNA, 516 nt
Organism: Eptesicus fuscus (big brown bat)
Lineage: Eukaryota; Metazoa; Chordata; Mammalia; Chiroptera; Vespertilionidae
Exons: 3
Source: RefSeq, a predicted model, not a curated record